CGCCAUUCUCCUGCCUCAGCCUCCCAAGUAGCUGGGACUACAGGCAUGCGUCACCACGCCCGGCUAAUUUUUUGUAUUUUUAGUAGAGACGGGGUUUCACCGUGUUAGCCAGGAUGGUCUCGAUCUCCUGACCUCGUGAUCCGCCCGCCUCGGCCUCCCAAAGUGCUGGGAUUACAGGCGUGAGCCACCGCGCCCGGCCGUCUUAUGACUCUUAAGGCCCUGUUCUGGUUGCUAUGGCUACAUAACAAACCCCUCCAGACUGAGUGCUUUACAUCUUAUUAUGCUCAUGGGCUCCACGAUCAGGAAUUUGGAAAGUGCACAGAAAAGAUGGGCUGUCUCUGCUCCCUGAUCCCUGGACCUCAGCUGGGAAAACUGAAAAACAGGGAAGGUUGGAAUCAUCUGACUCCCGUCUGGACUGAGUCUGGCAGCCAACAUGGAUGUUGGCUGGGACCUCGGUGAGGACUGCUGGCAGGAACACCUACACAUGGCCUUUUCCUUCGGCUGCUGGCCUUGCUCACAGAAUGGUGACCGGGUUCCAAGUGUGAACCCAGGUACAGGAAGAGACAGGAAAUGGAAACUGCCAGUUUCCUUAAAAUCUGGGCCCACUAACUAGCAUGGCAUCAUUUCCACCAUCUUCUAUUAGUCAAGCAUCACAAAGCCCAUAUUCAAGAGGAGACAACCUAGACCCAGCCUCUCAAUAAACAGUAUCAAAGGCUUUAGAGAGCAUGGUGUCAAGCUCCCAGAUUCUAAGGCUGUGACUCAACCCAGUGCACUGGGCUGCCUGGCUGUACACAGGUGUCCAUAUUGAUGCAAAGCCCCCAAGCUGCUCUUAUCCUCUUGUGAAGCACCCUUAGCUUGGUUAGUAUUUAAAUAACUCAGGAAUCUUUCCCCUCCUGGAUUUUGAGAGACCUCCACAUCUUCUCCUGUUCUCCCACUCUGUUCCCUCAUCCCACAAAACAGGCUCCUUUCCCCAGAACUAUUCUACCUGAAUACAGGCGAAAGAUCGCUCAAUGAGUUAGCCUUCCCCCACACCCCAGCUCUGACUCCCCCAGGGCUACCUUUCCAAAAGGAGACUCAACCCAAUUUCUUCUAGCUUUCAUCUGGGAGGGGCAGGUGGGGGCGGGGAGGGAGAAUGAAAGGGGCGAGGUGGUCUUGGCUGAGUGACCUGAUCGCAGGAAGUCACGGCUCUUUCUGCACAGAUCACUAGCUGGAUGGCUGUGUCUGGCCUAGGAGACCACAGUGAGAACCUGUCACUAAAGCAGGUGCCCAUGAUGGGAAGAACUGGAAAUUUUAUCUAAAGAGAGAGGCUGAAGUAUUCCUUAAACCACAAAAGAAAACAGUGAAAGUACAAAAUGACAACAGCCAUCUUCAAAUACUGCUUGUCAGAGGGACAAGAGAGAACAGAGGUGCUGUGCUGCUCCACAAGGCAAAACAAGAGCAAACAAGUCUGUCUGAAUUUCAAGAGGCUGGCCCUGAGGCUGCACUGUGGCAGUCUAGGUGAGAGACGCUGGUGACAAUGUGUGGAGGACAUAGGCCAGAGAAUUUUCUCCACCAAGUCUUGACAGAAUUUGGUGAAGAACUAGCUGGAGAAGGCAAGAGUGAAGGUGACAUUGUCACUUGGAUUUUAGGGUUGGACAUUUAGAGUAACUCCUUAGUUUCCUUUUAACUCUCAGAUACUGUGAUUUGAUCAAAUUCCAAAUUAUGACAGGUAUCUUUGGGAUGAGGAUAAAAUUUCCUUUGGAAAGAACCCGUGGGUGAAGGCUGCCAGGACACAUGGCCUGGCCUGGCUCACGUGGGUGAGACAGGUAGUUUCACAAGGUCCUGCUCCACUCUGCCACCUGUCAGCACAACUUUUACUACUGCAGAGGCUGUGGCCACUAGAUAAACUACUCACAGGCAGUCAAACUCUCCCCAUCUCUACUGCCUCACCCCACCUCUCAGUUACUAAGCAAUACUUUCUGGAAAGCCUGUAGACAAAGCACCUGCGGGGUGUGGAGACACCUAUACACUGGGCCAUGGGACAAGGCGGACCAAGAACCUGACCUCCAUCAGUUUAACGAUCUCAAGCCACACCUUGGGAACGUGUGGAUUCAAACAUGUUUAUUGAGCGAAUCAUUAGGACACAAAAUAGGCUGAGAAAGAUGUUCCAAAAAUCCAGAAAACCAUGGGCUAUUUCCAUUAAACACAGAGGUGCUGCCCUUCUCCACUCCAAACAGAACAGGAAAAAGGCAAGGGGACUGGGCCACAGUGCAUUAGGGAGGACAGGGUCUCUCGGCUUCUCUACCCCAGAGGGAAAGGUUAGGUUAGAAAAACAAUGCCCAACUCUUUCCCCUCAGAGCCCAGGGCUGAAGCCUGGGGGAAUGCUUCAUUUUGCUCCUUUUCUCUGCCUUUUCCAAAUGGUCACAUUCUUGAGGUAGGGAGUGGAGCUGGGGAGGGGCCCAGAGUCCUGUCAGAAAUCCUAUAAUGAGAAAGAUGAAAGGAAUACACAGGACACAGCAACGGGCCAAUGGGCAGACCAUCCUCCCCUGGGUUACCCUCAAAGACAGCCCAGAGGGCCACCCUCAGGCUAUGGCCUGUCAAUUUGAUGAGUGCACGGGUUGCCUGCCAGCAUUUCCCAAGGAUACAUAACUCCUCCUGCUCUGGGGACACUCACCUCAAUAUCCAGCUCUGUAGAAUCUAAGAGGUCCAGCCCGCGCUCACUGGUGGAACAGUAGCUACUUGCUUGCUAGAGAGAAUGAGGUUAAAAGUCAAAAAGGCCUUUACACACUCCUGUCACUUCGCAAAUAAAAAAACCAGUUCCUUUCCCAGCCUCAUAAGAACAAAUAUGGGCAGAGCAGGCCCCUAUGGCACCUCCUGGGAGGGAAGUCAGUGUGGGCACGAGGAUCAGGCCUGACUGCAGAGCGCUUCUUGGCCUGCUGACUGAGCCCCUUAAAUGACUUUGUUUUGGAAACCAGAAAACGGAUUUUUUCUGAGAUGUUAGGAAAUAAUAUUUUAACAGAGGCCUUGCUCUCUAGUCUCUGGUUUGAAGGUAUCAGUUUGGUUUCUCCUUCUGAGCACAAGACUCCCCUGUUCUGUUCUAUUCUGUUCUUUUUCCUUCCCUGCAGAGAAGAGAACAGAAGAAUAACAGCAGAAGAUACACAGCCUGUAAUGGACUGAAUAUCUGUGUCCCCCUAAACCCACAUAUUGAAAUCCUUCCCCCAGUGUGAUGCUGUUUGGAAGUGGGGCCUUUGGGAGGUGAUUGGUUCAUAGGGGUGCAGCCCUCAUGGAUGGAUGAAUGCCCUUCUAAGCCCAGGCCAGAGGGCUAGCUUGCUGUUUCUCCUCCAGGUGAGGAUACAACUAGAAGCCAGCAGUCUACAGGCUGGAAGAAGGCCCUCACCAGAACCCAACCCUUGGACUUCAGCCUCCAGAACUAUUCAUUCAGCUUUUCGAGACCAGGCAUCACCGAGCGGAGAGAGGGGAAACACCCUGGCUUCUCUUUGGCACAUCAGCCCCUAGUUCUUGAGAGAGAAGGGCAGGGUGGUCUACUCACCAUGUCUGUAUCCUGCCGUUCUUCAUUUGACUCAUCCUGGAUUUCUAACUCUUCUUCCUCGUCCUCUUCCAUAAGGCUGAGUCUGAUGUAGGGGCAAAGAGACUGGCUUUUCAAACUGUUCUUUGAGGACCCCUGAGAGUUUCUCAGACACCCGGGGUGGGGGAAGUGGGGAGCAGUAAGUACAGCAUAGUAGGUUUCCCAAUUGUGCUGACAGGAAGUGCUUUGUGGCUAAAACAAGUCCAAAAAGUACCCACAGAGAGGCAAUGGGUGAGACAGGAAUCCCCUCACAGUGGGCGACAGAUCUGAAGUGAAGACAGGAGAUGAUGAGAAAAGCUCACCGCAUCAGCUGGUUGCCCAGGCCAGGACCUGAAGGGUUGUGUGGAGUCUGGAAAUAUUGUGGACCCAAGAACCUUGACCUCUCGGUGCCUGCAACGGGCUGACUGCUGGGAAUGAAGCAGGAUCAAUGAUGGGAUAAAAAUCAAGGGUAAGAAGAGGAUGCAAGGCAGCUGGUGUUAAUGGGGAGAAAAGCUCAGAGAGAUGCAUUUUAAAGCUAAACAAUGGAGAAGGGUUUGAGAAGAACCCAACAAUGUGGGAGUGCUACAGCAGGGAACCAUGAAACAGAAACAGCAAGAUGGAGGCAGCCAGACACCAAACUGGGAACUCAGACACCCAGAUUCCCUCCAUGGCCUCACCCCUGGGCAAAAUCCAACUCUGAGCCAUCUUCUUCCUCCAUCUCUUUCAACCCCCACAGGGGCUGCCUGCUCUUCACAGCUGUGGAGGUGAGGGUGGGCGUGGGCGGGAUGCUGUUCAGCUGCAGACUUUCUUCCUGGGACGAGGAGACGUCCUCUCUGUUAGGCUUGGCAGGCCCUGCCAAGCAGAUGCAUACAUUAACCACAGCCCAGGGCCUGCGACAGGUGUGCUCUCUUUCCAAGACCUGCCCAGGAUUUAGUAAGGGAAAGUCAAUCAGGAAGAGAAUGGAAAACUUAUACAGCUUCAUUCUGUUGCCCUCAAAUGGGCAUAGCCCUAUGUACUAAAUACAUAGCCCUAUGUACCAAAAAGUAAGGCUUAGAGAAUUGUAGCUGGCCUUGUCCAAGAAGAACUUGCUACACAGCCUAGAAAACAAGAUGGAAAGAUACAUAAAUAUGCAUUUCACAGAUAAACUGUAACCGGUGAACACAAACAUGAGGGAGGGUUGGAGUCUCUAAGAUUGAGAGGUCUGAGUUAGCCAAUGAAGACAUUUGAGAUCCUAUCCAAGAUUUCUGUGGUCAGAAAAAGCUGUAAAUGGCAAUAGAGUUUUGGUACCAGAGGCUAGAGUGGACAAAUGAGGGCCAGGGAGGAACUGGAAAAUGGGAGACAGGAUUUUCUAAAAGCUAGAAAAAAAAUGAAGUGAUUGCAAUGCCAGUAUAACUGAUAUGAUAUGAAGGGGGACUUAUCUCCUGCAGAGAUUGGAGAAGGUAGAGGAGGAGAAAGAAUCCAAAGAUUCUCACUGCCUGAGAAAACCCAGGCAAUACUAUUUUAAAGCAUCAGUCAAAUUGACAUUAACAUCUGUUAACUGUAAACAGUCACACUCCCAUUACCCUCCCUCUCCACUGAAAACAAUAAUCCCAAAGUGAGCGCCUAUGGGUUUAAGCAGAGGGCUACAGAAAACAGGGAAGAGACAUACCCCUGGGCUUGGAUUCCCAGAGAGGAAACCUUGGGGCCCCAGGUGUGUCCUCCUGAUCUCCCUGAGCUAUUAAUGGUGUGAUGCCCGAGGGCUGGGCCCUUGAGUCUCUCCUCUUCUCCAUCUUCACUGGCUUCCCCAGCCACUCACGUUCAUGUCCUUAAAUAUCACCUAUACUCUGCCACAUCCCAAAGGGAUCUCAAGCCUUCAGCUCUCCCCUGAACUCCAUCUUAACAGCCCCCAUGGUUUGUUCAACAUCUCCACCUGUAAUCCUGUGGCCAACACCAAUGCCCCAACCUUCCCCCACAGCUAUCUUCACUCUCUGCCUUCCCCAUCUCAGAUACUGUCAACUCCAUCCUUCUGUCAGGCCAAAAUCCUUGGAGCCAUCCUCAACUGCUCUUUUUGUCUUACAUCCCACAUCCAGUUUGUCAGAAAAGCCUAUUAGAGAUACCUUGAAAAUGCACCCAGAAUCUGGCCGUUUCUCGGCACCUCCACCAUUGCCCCCGGCCUAAGAAGCUCUCUUAUCUUGAAUCUUGGGCUGGACUCCUACAACAGCCACAACCUCCCUGCUGGUCUCCCAGCUUCUAGCCUUCCCCCAUCUCCUGUCGUUUUCGACACAGCAGCCAGAAGGAUCCUUUAAAAACAGAGGUUGAUCCUGUCGUUCCUCAAAAUCCUCCAAUGGUUUUCCUACUGCACUCAGAGUAAAAGCCAGUCUCCGCCUUAGAUGCUCUGGGAUCCUGUACCCUCUCUUUGGUCUCAUGUCCUACAAUCUGCAUUCUGGCCAUAAUGGUCUUCUCUGCUGUUCCUUGAACAUUCCAGGAACAUUCCCCCCAUCCCCUCGUGGCCUCAGGACUGGCUGCUUCCUUUGGUAUGCUAUUCUGAUACACACUAAGCACCCUCCCUCACCUGUUAUAAAAAAUUCGCUGGGAGGCCAAUAGGCUGAAAUGGCUCCUGCACUUUGGGUUCCUAAGUCAGCAAACUGAAACUCAACUCAGAGUGAAAGUGUUGUGUGUAACCUAGGAGCAGGAAACUUCAGCUUAACCAGUCAGAAACUACCGACUAACCUCUAACAAGAGAUUUAUGGUCAGUUAACCUCUAAAUAUGAACUUUCCACUCUAACCAAUCAAAUAGUUUCUUUGUCUUGCUCCCAGAGACACCUUGUAAGUGUCCCCUCUGGUUUCCUCGGUGGUGGCGCCCUGAACUGUUGGCGGUCUGCCACUGCCUGAUUGAUAAAAUUGCUGAAUGCUCAAAUAAACCUG
Molecule: long non-coding RNA, 6448 nt
Filed under: Pan troglodytes (chimpanzee)
Lineage: Eukaryota; Metazoa; Chordata; Mammalia; Primates; Hominidae
Description: long non-coding RNA NONPTRT016315
Source: RNAcentral